RNAcentral lists this ribosomal RNA (451 nucleotides) under uncultured bacterium. RNAcentral describes it as "partial 16S ribosomal RNA". It matches the Rfam family "Bacterial small subunit ribosomal RNA", at positions 28 to 507 of the family's 1533-position model. The record is from RNAcentral.
AGCGAACGCUGGCGGCAUGCCUAACACAUGCAAGUCGCACGGGGGGGCUUCGGCCUCCCAGUGGCGGACGGGUGAGGAACGCGUAGGGACCUGUCGAGGGGUGGGGGAUAACCGCGGGAAACUGCGGCUCAUACCGCAUGACGCCGCGGCGUGACAGCCGGGGCCAAAGGCGAAAGCCGCCCGCCGAGGGGCCUGCGUCCGAUUAGCUGGUUGGCGGGGUAGCGGCCCACCAAGGCGUCGAUCGGUAGCUGGUCUGAGAGGGUGAUCAGCCACACCGGGACUGAGACACGGCCCGGACUACUACGGGAGGCAGCAGUGGGGAAUAUUGGACAGUGGGCGCAAGCCUGAUCCAGCAAUGCCGCGUGGGUGAAGAAGGUCUUCGGAUUGUAAAGCCCUUUCGGCGGGGACGAUGGUGACGGUACCCGCAGAAGAAGCCCCGGCUAACUUCGUG